This 429-nucleotide ribosomal RNA is filed under the name Bacteroidota bacterium. Its description in RNAcentral is "Bacteroidetes bacterium partial 16S ribosomal RNA". It matches the Rfam family "Bacterial small subunit ribosomal RNA", at positions 355 to 776 of the family's 1533-position model. The record is from RNAcentral. Lineage: Bacteria; Pseudomonadati; Bacteroidota.
UAGGGAAUCUUCCGCAAUGGACGCAAGUCUGACGGAGCAACGCCGCGUGAGUGAAGAAGGAUUUCGGUUCGUAAAACUCUGUUGUUAGAGAAGAACAGCGCAUAGAGUAACUGUUAUGCGUGUGACGGUAUCUAACCAGAAAGCCACGGCUAACUACGUGCCAGCAGCCGCGGUAAUACGUAGGUGGCAAGCGUUGUCCGGAUUUACUGGGCGUAAAGCGAGCGCAGGCGGUCAAUUAAGUCUGAUGUGAAAGCCCCCGGCUCAACCGGGGAGGGUCGUUGGAAACUGGUUGACUUGAGUGCAGGAGAGGGGAGUGGAAUUCCAUGUGUAGCGGUGAAAUGCGUAAAUAUAUGGAAGAACACCAGUGGCGAAGGCGACUCUCUGGUCUGUAACUGACGCUGAGGCUCGAAAGCGUGGGUAGCAAACAGG